RNAcentral lists this unclassified non-coding RNA (170 nucleotides) under uncultured Borrelia sp. RNAcentral's name for it is "partial 5S-23S ribosomal intergenic spacer". Lineage: Bacteria; Pseudomonadati; Spirochaetota; Spirochaetia; Spirochaetales; Borreliaceae. The record is from RNAcentral.
AUUUUAUUUUUUAUGUUUUUAGAUGUUCAUGUUAUUGAAUGUUUUAUUUAAAUAAUAUAAAAAAUAAAAUAUAUAUUGACAUGGAUUAAACAAAGAUAUAUAUUAUUCUAUGUUGCAUAAGCAAAUUGGCAAAAUAGAGAUGGAAGAUAAAAAUAUGGUCAAAGUAAUAA